This 303-nucleotide ribosomal RNA is filed under the name uncultured bacterium. Its description in RNAcentral is "partial 16S ribosomal RNA". It matches the Rfam family "Bacterial small subunit ribosomal RNA", at positions 507 to 807 of the family's 1533-position model. The record is from RNAcentral.
AGCAGUCGCCGCGGUAAUACGGAGGGAGCUAGCGUUGUUCGGAAUUACUGGGCGUAAAGCGCGCGUAGGCGGUUACUCAAGUCAGAGGUGAAAGCCCGGGGCUCAACCCCGGAACUGCCUUUGAAACUAGGUGACUAGAAUCUUGGAGAGGUCAGUGGAAUUCCGAGUGUAGAGGUGAAAUUCGUAGAUAUUCGGAAGAACACCAGUGGCGAAGGCGACUGACUGGACAAGUAUUGACGCUGAGGUGCGAAAGCGUGGGGAGCAAACAGGAUUAGAUACCCGAGUAGUCCCUGUCUCUUAUAC